Molecule: ribosomal RNA, 575 nt
Filed under: uncultured organism
Description: SSU rRNA
Rfam family: Bacterial small subunit ribosomal RNA
Source: RNAcentral
GACGAACACUGGCGGCGUGCUUAACACAUGCAAGUCGAACGAAGAGCGAUGGAAGCUUGCUUCUAUCAAUCUUAGUGGCGAACGGGUGAGUAACGCGUAAUCAACCUGCCCUUCAGAGGGGGACAACAGUUGGAAACGACUGCUAAUACCGCAUACGAUCUAAUCUCGGCAUCGAGGAUGGAUGAAAGGUGGCCUCUAUUUAUAAGCUAUCACUGAAGGAGGGGAUUGCGUCUGAUUAGCUAGUUGGAGGGGUAACGGCCCACCAAGGCGAUGAUCAGUAGCCGGUCUGAGAGGAUGAACGGCCACAUUGGGACUGAGACACGGCCCAGACUCCUACGGGAGGCAGCAGUGGGGAAUCUUCCGCAAUGGACGAAAGUCUGACGGAGCAACGCCGCGUGAGUGAUGACGGCCUUCGGGUUGUAAAGCUCUGUUAAUCGGGACGAAAGGCCUUCUUGCGAAUAGUUAGAAGGAUUGACGGUACCGGAAUAGAAAGCCACGGCUAACUACGUGCCAGCAGCCGCGGUAAUACGUAGGUGGUAAGCGUUGUCCGGAAUUAUUGGGCGUAAAAGCGCGCG